AAAGCGGAGGAAAAGAAACCAACAGGGAUUGCCCUAGUAACGGCGAGUGAAGCGGCAACAGCUCAAAUUUGAAAUCUGGCUUCGGCCCGAGUUGUAAUUUGCAGAGGAAGCUUUAGGCGCGGCACCUCCUGAGUCCCCUGGAACGGGGCGCCACAGAGGGUGAGAGCCCCGUAUAGUUGGAUGCCUAGCCUGUGUAAAGCUCCUUCGACGAGUCGAGUAGUUUGGGAAUGCUGCUCAAAAUGGGAGGUAAAUUUCUUCUAAAGCUAAAUACCGGCCAGAGACCGAUAGCGCACAAGUAGAGUGAUCGAAAGAUGAAAAGCACUUUGAAAAGAGGGUUAAAUAGCACGUGAAAUUGUUGAAAGGGAAGCGCUUGUGACCAGACUUGCGCCGGGCUGAUCAUCCGGUGUUCUCACCGGUGCACUCUGCCCGGCUCAGGCCAGCAUCGGUUCUCGCGGGGGGAUAAAGGCCCUGGGAACGUAGCUCCUCCGGGAGUGUUAUAGCCCGGGGCGUAA
This 512-nucleotide ribosomal RNA is filed under the name Acrophialophora fusispora. RNAcentral's name for it is "partial large subunit ribosomal RNA". It matches the Rfam family "Eukaryotic large subunit ribosomal RNA", at positions 47 to 571 of the family's 3401-position model. Lineage: Eukaryota; Fungi; Ascomycota; Sordariomycetes; Sordariales; Chaetomiaceae. The record is from RNAcentral.